AAUCAAACCGGGAGAUAGCUGGUUCUCCCCGAAAGCUAUUUAGGUAGCGCCUCGUGAAUUCAUCUCCGGGGGUAGAGCACUGUUUCGGCUAGGGGGCCAUCCCGGCUUACCAACCCGAUGCAAACUGCGAAUACCGGAGAAUGUUAUCACGGGAGACACACGGCGGGUGCUAACGUCCGUCGUGAAGAGGGAAACAACCCAGACCGCCAGCUAAGGUCCCAAAGUCAUGGUUAAGUGGGAAACGAUGUGGGAAGGCCCAGACAGCCAGGAUGUUGGCUUAGAAGCAGCCAUCAUUUAAAGAAAGCGUAAUAGCUCACUGGUCGAGUCGGCCUGCGCGGAAGAUGUAACGGGGCUAAACCAUG
RNAcentral lists this ribosomal RNA (362 nucleotides) under Salmonella enterica. RNAcentral's name for it is "partial 23S ribosomal RNA". It matches the Rfam family "Bacterial large subunit ribosomal RNA", at positions 831 to 1191 of the family's 2925-position model. RNAcentral also lists the same sequence under 2 other names. The record is from RNAcentral. Lineage: Bacteria; Pseudomonadati; Pseudomonadota; Gammaproteobacteria; Enterobacterales; Enterobacteriaceae.